UUUAGGACUUCAUCAACAAAUCAGGAGAUCUUCAAACAUCUGCAUCACAGAACUAAAGGACAAGACAUUUCAGCGAAGUUCAGCAUCUUUACCCGUAAGGCACAAAAUGGAUCCGGCACACCAAGUGCCUAAAACUAAUGUAAAGAUUGUGAAAGACGAAAGGUUCACAUAAAGGGGUAGAGAGGUCAGAACAGCAGCAACAUGAAUGGACCAAACUAAAAAUAAAAAUCAUAAAAAGACUAUUGUUUUAUGUUUGGUUCAUUGUAAUUAUGAGAUUUUCUUGCAGAAAAUUCAUUUUACUUAGGUGCUCUGCAGCUUUACUGAUUCAAAAUCAAAAUAAUGGGUUCUGUGCUAAACUUUUAAAACAUUUCAAACUAUAUUAGCAACAGACCCUAAACUUUAUGAGGACUCUGCGUUUUUAUUAAAAAAACACAAGCUUUGGAGUUUCCAAAGCCGGUUCUUGAGGUCUACCUCUGUUUUUACACAAUUCCCUGUAUGAGAUCAUGAGAUUACAGGUUCUAAUGCAUGGAUUUUCCAGGUUGUUAGUAGCGCGUGUGACCUGCAGGGCUGCUGCAGGGUUUUAGGUUUUCCGGUCCGUGGAGUGUCGUACAGAGGAGCGGCCGGAUCUUAAGGGGUGCGUAGGUGUGUCUUGCAGUACCCUAGAGGUUUCACGGCUAUCUCAAGGGAACAUCCUGAAGAUGGAACACUUGUCAUGUGUGUGGGAAGUGUAUCAUGAAGUAUUCGCAAGGAUCGAAGAAGUACACACUGGGUGAUGAUGUCGUAUGGUUCCCUUAUACCACGAUCUCGCCGUUAGGUGAAUGCUGCAUGCAGAUAAGUGGCCGUAGGACGUCCACAAAAACUACACGCUGAUCAAAUCAUUUCUAACAGUCAGGCUGCACGCAAGGAGCACACACUUAUCACUUGAACAGCACUAACGGGCUCCUUGCGCUGUGCGCAGGUUUCAGGGAUUGAAAAAAUGUUGUACAACACACCUGUGCUUUACCCUUACGCAUGGUAUGAGUGUUGACCGCGACCUGUCAUCUGCAUCAUGCCUGUUGAAACAAGUAUGCAUGGACAUUUUUCUUCUAAAGACUCCCUGAACGGACUACGAUCCUUACAUUUGCUGUUGCGUAUAGGUUUGCCCAUUUUUCACCCACGGACAGCCCCUAUCCACCCCAGGAACCACUGCAGUGGUUUGACAACCACAAUAAGAGGAACUUGACACCUGUCCCUCAUUUCUAUGCCGUUUCAGUUUUUCCUUCACCUCCUCUGUGGCCUUGUCAUCUUCCAUUCGCUGCCUCUGAGUUUUGAGUUUUUCUGCAUCCAUCUCUGUGCAUCACAAUCUGCUGAACUCAAAUCUGUAUGUGGGUGAGCACAGCCUCUCCAGCCUUUUUGAAUGAUGUCCCUCCAAUCAUCCACAUCCUUCUCCACACAAGCAUGUGUGUCAUGCGUGAGAAUGUGGGUCACCUAUGGAGGAGGAUACCAUGGCUCCUGUGGCCAGCUUCAUGCAAACACGCACGCGCAGGUACACACGCAGCGCACACAAGGUGGACCUCAAAAGGACGGCGACGAAUUUGACAUCAACAUAAGGGUUCUCUUUUAGGUCCCACUCUACCACAGCCGCCCCCUAUAUGUUCGAAGAUGAGUGGCACGUGCAAAACCUGCCCCGUCGCCUCCAGCCAACCCACCCCUCCCAUUUCACGAUCGACGCAUGCACGGAAUACCGGGGCAUGCCCAGGCGACGCGCGCAGCUGCCAGCGCCAGAGAGACCCUACAGUUUGUUUGGCGCAGCCGCCGUCGCGUGAGACAGGCCGCGUGCGUGCGUUCGAGCGCCAUGCCAGCCGUGCUGUGACCCGAUAAGUACAACAAUCUGUGCGAGCUCAGAGGAUCAUAACCCGAAAUGGAGCCCUCCGUCACCUACAGCUUUAAACACAUGAAAUAUAGCAGCGACGCAGUCGCACCGUGGCGAGGCAGCGUGCGCGCGGCGCGCCGUAAACUCCAUUUUGUCUCUCAUUUGACACUUUGAGGGGGGAAGACCUUUAAGGAGACCCCCCCCCCUCCCAUUUCUGACUCCAGGCCCGAUUUGAAAAAACAAAAACAAAACCUUCCUACAAAUGUUGAGCCUCCCCCCGUCUGCGAAUGUUAGGGUCAGUUCAUGAUCAAACUGAAGCUGCGCAUUCGGCCUGGCAAACUUGCACCUGCUCUGAUCAAACCAAUCGAUGAUCUGCUUUCGGGCUCGCGCUGGAUUAGAGGAAGAAAAAAAAGUAGGCCAGCGUGAAAGCGGACCCCCGCAGCAGGUUGACGUGCAGACAUAAACACACAAAACUACUGAAAGGUGGAAAAUAAUGCGCGAGUGUUCUUGUGAGUGAGAAGUCCAUGACAGCACACUCCAACCCCCCUCCUUCCAGUGUCUCUCCCCUUCUCUUCAUCGAUGAAAAACAUGCACCAUCAUCUCGUGACAACAUCCGCAUCCCCAGCAUCCCCUCAGCGCACCGUGGCUGGACCACGCGCGA
Oryzias latipes (Japanese medaka) is the source of this 2513-nucleotide long non-coding RNA. RefSeq lists it as uncharacterized. NCBI's taxonomy places the organism in Eukaryota, Metazoa, Chordata, Actinopteri, Beloniformes, Adrianichthyidae. The record is from RefSeq and is a predicted model, not a curated record.